This 253-nucleotide ribosomal RNA is filed under the name uncultured bacterium. RNAcentral describes it as "partial 16S ribosomal RNA". It matches the Rfam family "Bacterial small subunit ribosomal RNA", at positions 524 to 776 of the family's 1533-position model. The record is from RNAcentral.
UACGGGGGGGGCAAGCGUUGUUCGGAAUUACUGGGCGUAAAGGGCUCGUAGGCGGCCAACUAAGUCGGACGUGAAAUCCCUCGGCUUAACCGGGGAACUGCUUCCGAUACUGGAUGGCUUGAAUCCGGGAGAGGGAUGCGGAAUUCCAGGUGUAGCGGUGAAAUGCGUAGAUAUCUGGAGGAACACCGGUGGCGAAGGCGGCAUCCUGGACCGGCAUUGACGCUGAGGCGCGAAAGCCAGGGGAGCAAACGGG